RNA transcript from Choloepus didactylus (southern two-toed sloth), 3093 nucleotides. It is a transcript of the gene named family with sequence similarity 118 member A, with no coding region annotated. The transcript is spliced from 11 exons. The record is from RefSeq and is a predicted model, not a curated record. NCBI's taxonomy places the organism in Eukaryota, Metazoa, Chordata, Mammalia, Pilosa, Megalonychidae.
CGGCGGCGCGGGCGCGCGGGGAAAGGCUUUGCGGCGGCGUCGCGGCCGGCUAACGUGGAGUCGCGGUUGAAGGCGUCGCCCGCCCGGCUCCGGCUCCGGCCGCGGCUCCUGCUCCCGCUUCCGCCUCGGGUGCGCGCGCAGACGUCGUCGGCCGCCGAGGAGGGGAGGCGGGAGUGCGGGCGGAGACCAGCGAGUCGGCGGCGCCGCAGCUGGCAGAGUGGCGGAGAAUCUGAGUCUGAGCCUCUGCCUGAACCUGGAUUCACAGAUGGAUUCAGUGGAAAAGACAACAAAAAGAAGUGAACAGAAGUCCAGAAAGUUUUUAAAAAGCCUCAUCCGGAAACAGCCACAGGAGCUGCUGCUGGUCAUUGGGACGGGUGUCAGCGCAGCUGUGGCCCCUGGCAUCCCGGCCCUCUGCUCGUGGAGGAGCUGCAUCGAGGCCGUGAUCGAGGCUGCAGAGCAGCUGGAGGUGCUGCACCCGGGGGACAUCGCCGAGUUCCGCAGGAAAGUGAUGAAGGACCGCGACUUGCUGGUGGUGGCCCAUGAGCUGAUCCGGAAGAUGUCCCCCCGCACGGGGGACACGAAGCCCAGCUUCUUCCAGGACUGCCUCAUGGAGAUCUUCGACAACCUGGAGCAGCACAUCCAGAACCCCGCGGUGCUGCAGUGCAUCCUCAGCCUGAUGGAGAGGGGCACGAUGGUGCUGACCACCAACUACGACACCCUGCUCGAGAUCUUUGGCCGGCAGCAGAGCAAGCCCAUGGAGUCUUUGGACUUGAAGGAUAAGACGAAGGUCCUUCAGUGGGCAAGAGGACACAUAAAAUAUGGAGUUCUUCACAUCCAUGGCUUAUACACAGACCCUUGCGGGAUGGUGUUAGAUCCAUCGGGAUAUAAAGAUGUUACUCAGGACCCGGAAGUAAUGGAAGUUCUCCAGAAUUUAUACCGCACCAAAUCGUUUCUGUUUGUGGGAUGUGGAGAGACCCUUCGUGAUCAGAUAUUCCAAGCUCUCUUCCUUUAUUCUGUGCCGAAUAAGGUGGAUUUAGAACACUACAUGGUUGUGCUCAAGGAGAAUGAAGACCAUUUCUUUAAGCAUCAAGCAGACAUGCUUUUGCAUGGAAUUAAAGUCAUAUCUUAUGGGGGCUGUUUUGACUAUUUUCCAGAAUAUGUGCAAGACCUCACCACUCAGAUCUGCAAACAGAGAAGCCCAGAUGCUGAUCGAGUGGACAGCACUACAUUAUUGGGUAACGCAUGUCAGGACUGUGCAAAGAGGAAGUUAGAAGAGAAUGGAAUUGAAAUUUCAAAAAAACUCAGACAAUCAGAUACCGAUCAUGCUGGAGGGUCUUGAAAUCUUUAAAACCAAUAAAACCUGCAACUUGAAAACCAGCCUUCUGUAACCACAGUGCCAUACACAAAUGAGGAAUGUACUGGGAACCCCCCAUGGGAUCUCUCAAUUCUGAACCGCCCUGUACCCCAAAAGAGCCCUGUGGGUGUGUGGCCUUCUGAGGCUGGGUGGAAGAGAAGAGCUCCACUGGAUGUGGUGAAACACACACACUUCAGGUAGACUCUGUGAGGACCGAUGGCUGGUGACUGCCUCUGGGACCGGAGUCGGUGGACAGGGAGACACCUGUCGUCCUGAGUUCCACUUGACAAGCCCCCUUUGGUCAAGGUGUUUUCUGAUAAAAGAGGGAGAGUGAAGAUUCUCCAAGCAACAGAAGUUGCCAAAGAGAAAAUGCAAUUGGGUGUGGCUAUCUGAGUCUCAAAGGAUAAAUUACAGGUUGGCCAAACACAGGGUAGAGCAAAACUACAGGCAUGGAAGAUGACGGGGACCAGGAUCCACGAAUGAGCCAGUUCCCGGAAAGCCCGAAGGGCCGCGCCUGUGAGGAUAAACGUGUCCACGUCAGUUCUGCCGUGAUGCGGGUUUUAACAUGCCAGUAUAUUCCCUGCAAUGGAUCUGUGAGGGAACAAUGGAGCAUGUUCCCGAGAAACACCAGGACUGGGGACGACAGAGCAUGACUCGCUGUUCACAGCCUCACGCCAGGUGCUUUACACUUAAGCAGUUACAGGAGGACCUGCACAGCAGCCCCCGCUGCCUCUCGGAGCAUCAAGUAUUUACUGUCUGGCCCUUCUAGAAAACAUUUGCUGACCCCUGCGCUAGGUGAAUGCAGAAAACCGACCCAGCUGAGCUCAGUAGGAGACAACAAAUGCCGCAUGCGGCACCCCCACCCCCCCACAGCGUCAGAGCUGAGGCCACCCUCCUGCCACUCUCCACUGUAACAGGCCGCAGCUGUGGUGCCCAUGGCCACAGGCAAACUGAAGGUCUUUUUAAAGACAACGUGCUGCAUUGUAGUAUUUGUAAAUUUCUCAGUCAUCCAAUGUGGGUAAAACUGGGUAUUAUUUUUGAUUAGGUUCUUAAUCUUUUUUUAACGUGUCAGAAAUUUUGAGGUGGUGCCCCAACCCGAUAGUUCCCAUAGCCUUGUGGUGUCUAGUGUGUAAUUUUGCACAGCAGGGUGGUGGUCAGGAAUGGAGAUGUUGUGUGACAACAGAACCAACUGCACUUUGAAGGAUCUUGGCGAUCUGAGAGUUAGACUGGCCCAGGCAGGAAGUAAGGGUCUAAAGUGAGCGUGGGGCAGCAUUUAAAGGGGCAUUUCAGGGUUAAAGUUGAUGUCUUUUAAGGGAAUAGAUGACAUAGGUGGUAGUGCCAGUACUUAAAAAAAAAAAGGACACAGGAGAGGGACACACAAUGACUGCUGUGAUCUUGUGGUGCGUAGACUUAGCUCUCACUGUGCUGUGAGCUCCUUGAGGGCAGGAGCCGUGGUGUUUGUGCUUCAUCUGCAUCUUGGGCCCAGAUGCCUUCUGUGUUACCCGCAGUGGUGAAUGCUGUAUGAGCGCCUCCUCUUCAGGAGACUACUCCUUGGUUAGCACUUGGGCCCAAAGCAAUCUUAAAUAGACCUCCAGGAUCUGAAUAGAAUUUUUUGUUCCAUUUUGAAAUGGAAAUGAAGUCCUACUGAAAUCUCUGCAACUUUUCUACCUUUAACACUGUCUAAGUGGAGAAGUCAGCUGUCACUUAAGGAAGUCUAUUUUUCAGUAUUUUUUUUUUUU